CAUGCACAACAGCCCUGACUUCGCGGAAGGGGUACACUUAUUAGGUACAAACCCAAUGCGGGCAACCGCUUAUUGGUGAAUCUAGAUAAUUGAAUGAUCGUAUGGCCUCGCGCUGACGACCAACCAAUCAAGUUUCUGCCCUAUCAACUUUGGAUGGUAGUGUAUUGGACUACCAUGGUUAUAACGGGUAACGGGGAAUUAGGGUUCGAUUCCGGAGAGGGAGCCUUAAAAACGGCUACCACUUCCAAGGAAGGCAGCAGGCGCGCAAAUUACCCAAUCCUGAUACAGGGAGGUAGUGACAAGAAAUAACGAUGCUGGUCCUUCAAUGGACUAGCAAUCGGAAUGAGUACAAUGCAAAUAUCUUAACGAGGAACAAUUGGAGGACAAGUCUGGUGCCAGCACCCGCGGUAAUUCCAGCUCCAAUAGCGUAUAUUAAAGUUGUUGCGGUUAAAAAGCUCGUAGUUGGAUUGAAGGGCAGUUCUGUCUGUAGUCUUGCCCCCAAAGGGUAGACUUGCAGGUAGUCUGUUCAAUAUAUGCUCGGAUCUUGCUCUUCUGGCCUUAACUGGUUGGGAGGGUGGUUCUGAGCCGUUUACUUUGAAAAAAUUAGGGUGUUCAAAGCAGGCUAUUUUAUGCCUUGAAUAGAUUAGCAUGGGAUAAUGAAACACGACCUAGCCGUCGUUUCGUUGGGCUUGGGCGGCUAGGUAAUGAUCAAUAGGAACGGUCGGGGCUAUUCAUAUUUAAUUGUCAGAGGUGAAAUUCUUAGAUUUUUUAAAGAUGAACCAAUGCGAAAGCAUCUAGCAAGGGCGCUUUCAUUGAUCAAGAACGAAAGUUAGGGGAUCGAAGACGAUCAGAUACCGUCGUAGUCUUAACUAUAAACGAUGCGGACCAAGGAUCGGGCAGGUAAUUUUGUACUACCUGCCCAGCACUUUGCGAGUAAUCAGAGUCUUUGCGCUCUGGGGGGAGUAUGGUCGCAAGGCUGAAACUUAAAGGAAUUGACGGAAGGGCACCACCAGGAGUGGAGCCUGCGGCUUAAUUUGACUCAACACGGG
This 1049-nucleotide ribosomal RNA is filed under the name uncultured eukaryote. RNAcentral describes it as "SSU rRNA". It matches the Rfam family "Eukaryotic small subunit ribosomal RNA", at positions 170 to 1209 of the family's 1831-position model. The record is from RNAcentral.